RNAcentral lists this ribosomal RNA (529 nucleotides) under uncultured Lachnospiraceae bacterium. Its description in RNAcentral is "bacterial SSU rRNA". It matches the Rfam family "Bacterial small subunit ribosomal RNA", at positions 64 to 593 of the family's 1533-position model. Lineage: Bacteria; Bacillati; Bacillota; Clostridia; Lachnospirales; Lachnospiraceae. The record is from RNAcentral.
GAACGAAGCACUUAUCUUUGAUUCUUCGGAUGAAGAGAUUUGUGACUGAGUGGCGGACGGGUGAGUAACGCGUGGGUAACCUGCCUCAUACAGGGGGAUAACAGUUAGAAAUGACUGCUAAUACCGCAUAAGACCACAGAGCCGCAUGGCUCGGUGGGAAAAACUCCGGUGGUAUGAGAUGGACCCGCGUCUGAUUAGGUAGUUGGUGGGGUAACGGCCUACCAAGCCAACGAUCAGUAGCCGACCUGAGAGGGUGACCGGCCACAUUGGGACUGAGACACGGUCCAAACUCCUACGGGAGGCAGCAGUGGGGAAUAUUGCACAAUGGGGGAAACCCUGAUGCAGCGACGCCGCGUGAGCGAAGAAGUAUUUCGGUAUGUAAAGCUCUAUCAGCAGGGAAGAAAAUGACGGUACCUGACUAAGAAGCACCGGCUAAAUACGUGCCAGCAGCCGCGGUAAUACGUAUGGUGCAAGCGUUAUCCGGAUUUACUGGGUGUAAAGGGAGCGUAGACGGCUGUGUAAGUCUGAA